RNAcentral lists this long non-coding RNA (1332 nucleotides) under Nicotiana benthamiana. Its description in RNAcentral is "long non-coding RNA (NBEN_LNC021050)". Lineage: Eukaryota; Viridiplantae; Streptophyta; Magnoliopsida; Solanales; Solanaceae. The record is from RNAcentral.
UUUGUUUAUGUAAUUGGUCUUAAAUUUGGGGUUUUAUCUUGAAAGAAUAAAAAUUGGGAAGGGGUAAUUGGAAAACUAGAAAUCAUUUAUGUUGCCGUAGUUCCCUGCCUAUAAAGGCACCCCAAACUUGCCUUUGCAAAAGGACAAAGAAAAAAAAGAGAUAAAAAUUCUUGAAAAUUAAACGCGGCUGCUUCUUUAAGAACUUCAAAAAUAACUUAUAAUUUUGGAAAUUCUCUAAGAAAUUACUGGAAAUUUUGUUAGUAUGUUUUGGUAUCCCAAUUAAACUAUUGAAGCAGUGAUAGUUCUUCUUUGACUGUGGUGUGCAACGAGUGGAGUUCCGGGUAUUUUUUAAAGCUGGUUGGGAUUUAUUUUUUGAAAAUACUGUUUCAUUACUGAUUUGAGAUGAUUUAACUAUUUCACUGGAUGUUGCUUGGCUGAUUCCUCACUAUUUUGUCUCUAUUUCAUUUUCCAGGUACUUGUUCUUAAAAUUGUAGAGUUGAUCCUCAAAUUGGAAUUGAAAUGGAGCUGUGAUUCAUUAUAUAACUUUACUUUCGUGGAUCUCCCUGUUUUAAGCUUUCAUAAUUAGGUUUUUUCAUGUGUAAUUGAAUAUGCCACUAGAUAUUGUCUUAAUUUAUAUGACUUUAAUUGGUUUUGCUUGAAUAUAAGAGGCUCGAGUCCAUGCUUUGUCUGAUUGUCUUUUUUUGUUCAGUUGUGCUAUGUAUGCUUUGUUCAUGAUUCUCAAUGUUGUAACUCACUUUAAAAGUUUUAUUUGAUGUCCAUUUUGAAUACUGUUUGAGCCCGGGAAUGACCUCGGGUCUUAAUGAUAUGUAUAAGUGAAUAACCACUAUUUCUCUAGUUUAAUUUGGUCAAUUUUUUCCGAAUUUUGUAUGUAUGUUGAACUGGUGGUCAGAUUUAGAUUUGCCUAACCUUUUCAUUCGAUCUAUGUUCUGAUUUGUUCCAGGUUUAGUUUGGUUCACAGGUUCUGAGCUUUGAUUUUGUGCCUACGUCACAUAUAUAAUUCAUUUGUGGUAGUUGUGUUUUUGAAAAUUCAUGAUUCAAAUAAUGGGUUGAUGGUUUGAUAGUUUGCAAAUUUAAUUAAGUUAUACAAGGUUCUUCGUUGUUGUUAACAGGUUCAUAAUUGGGAUUCAAACUUCACAUAAUAUGUUUGUUACUUUAGCCUAUUCGAAAUUGAGAUGCGAAUUAUGUUAUUCAAUGUUCUGGUUUGUUCCCUCUUUGUGGUUAUUUAGUUUGCAGUAUGGGUUAUAGUUACAGUGUGGGUUUUGUUAUUCGAAAUUUUGGUCUAAAAUGAAAGCGUGGGUUAUACGAUUAUAG